Non-coding RNA from Aegilops tauschii subsp. strangulata, 4047 nucleotides. Lineage: Eukaryota; Viridiplantae; Streptophyta; Magnoliopsida; Poales; Poaceae. The record is from RefSeq and is a predicted model, not a curated record.
ACGUAAGGAAACAGGAGAUGUUAGGUUCAUCAUUUUGGACCAUAAGAUUUCUAUCAUUCUAAAGACUGCACACAGGGCUAGAUACAUUUUAGAUAACAAACCGCAUGCACUUUGUUGUGCUUGCGUCACAACAUAUAUUCAAAAAAAAUUAAUGCUCUGCUCAAAUGUAUUUUUGGACAUUAAUCUCAACAAAAGGUUGAAACAUGAAAUAGAUAUGCAGAAGUAACACUAAUUGCCAAGAAUAUUUGUUGUGAGAUGAAUCUGUGACAACCAUGUCGUGAUAAUUUCAUACAAAAAUCUCAAAAGGCAAAAUUUAGGUGUCGUUUUGGACAGCACAAGUACGUCAAUGCCACAGUUCCAAAUUUUACUCCCUCAGUUCACAAAUAUAAUAGUAUGCUGUAACAUUUUUAUGAAUCGGAUGUAUAUAGACACGUUUUAGUGUGUUUGUUCACUCAUUUCAGUCCGUAUGUAGUCCAUACUGAAAUAUCCAAAACAUCUUAUAUUUAAUGAAUGGAGGGAGUAACUUUUAGAUAGUGGCCCGUGAAAAUUUAAAUUUUCAGUAAUGCAGUAUGUUUGCGCUUUUGCAACCGGACUGUUUGAACUGCCAAAACGUCUUAUAUUUAGGUACUCCCUCCGUCCCAUAAUAUAAGAGCGUUGUAGUGUCAAAAACGCUCUUAUAUUAUGGGACGGAGGGAGUAUUUUAUAUAGGAUAAUGAAAAUCUCAAAAAGUAUGCAAAUCAUCUACUCCCUCCGUCCCAUAAUAUAGUAAGUAUCAAAAAUGCUCUUAUAUUAUGGGACGGAGGGAGCAUAUUGUAUAUUUACAUAUGGAUUGAAAAUAGUGUGUUCCAUGGCACAUGCUUUUUUAUCAAAUGAAGUAGGCACACACCAAAAUUGUUGCACUUAGUUUUGAUGCCAGGUCUAAUGAUUUUAACAAAUCAUAUGCAGGCAAAUUUGGAUACAUUAGUUAUUCUAAUGCAUAUAGGCUCUCGAUCUAGUCCAAUAUAGAAACAAGCCGAACGAAAGAAAAUGUAGCAGCCCUAGCUCAAGAAGAUUCAGAUAGUAUGAAAAUUAUCCCUGUCUACUUUCAAUAAUUUGAGCAACUUCUCAAAAGUUCACCCGCAAAUUAGGAAUGUUUUAUUGCAGUAGUCCAAUACCAGUAUUCAAUGAUCGAAUUUCCAUUGCACUGAUGCGCUUGUGACAGUAAUUACUAAUUAGUGAAUCUGCACUGUGAAUAUCACAGCAUGUUUCUUUCGGUUGCUACUCGAGACAAACAUCGCCACAAACACUACAGCUGGAUUCAUAACAGUUUAGUCAAAGUUUACGAGUAAAUUUAUAUUCUCGGUCCACAGUGCAAAACUAACUGCCACUUGGAUGAUACUAGUGACAGCCACUACAACUAUACUAGUAACAAUAGGCUGGACCAACAUGACCAUUUAUAGAAAGCUUGUGAGAAUAGGGAAAAAAACACGUAGCAAUCUCUAUGUUAUUUCGAAAGCCGUUAUCCAUAAUCAGCAAAGCUGGUAAUGUUAAAUGAACUCAAUAUUAAGUAUUUAAACUGUAUCUUGCAAUUUCCAAUGAGGGCAUUUUAUAGUAGUUUAGAGUUUAACAAACAAAUGAACUGGAGCCCCAGAAGAUAACUGCUAACUAAGUUUAACAGAAUAGUUAAAGGCUGAUACAUGUUCGAGUAUAAGCAUUGUAAUAUGUGACCACUGUAAUGUAUAACUUGGACAAACUCAUCCCAAAUAAGCAUUGUAGAAGUACUAAAAUCCAACUUGUAGAAAAAAGAGUGCCAUAUUUUUUGUUGUAAAAAUUAAAUCAUUUUCAAACAUUUCUAGUUGGAAAAGCAAGAGUCCAUAGCAGUAUAUUACAGCAGAAACACAUGGGAAAUGAAUUAUAACUUAAAUACAAUCUAUACUUAAAAUCAUGUGAUGGACUUGACACAUGACACCACUAUUCAAGGCAAGUGAUUCACACCAAAUAUCCCCAUUUUCAAUGGGUGUUUGGGGAUUGUGCCUUAGGCCACACUAGCCUUGCCGGAACGUUGCCAGGAGCGAGCCUGGAGCAUGUUUGGUUACCACCCUAGUUUGCUCCCCACCAGGCGCAGGCCACCAAUAACAGACACCUGGGGGCAUGCACCUUCCUCUUUUCUGAUGGCAUUUCCUCCAGCUAAUCACACAGAUGAACUUUUCUCCUCCUUCGGAACUAGUCGCAGAUGCGAACACCAAAGUCCCACCAAAAUGAGCCGUCGCAAAUGCAAUUCAGGGGGCGUCAGAGUUAAGAAGCCCCUAUCAGAAUCGCUGGCCCACUGCCGGUGCAGAUGCAAUGGAGCCACUGCAGGUCGAAAUCAGGCAUCUGUGUUUGCAACUGACGAGCCAUGAGUCGCAACUCUGCAAGAAAACGACUGUGAUCCUUGGUGAAGCAGAUAUCAGUGGCCGGUCUUGUUGUACUCACCCGCUCAUGCUGGCUUUGUCCAGAGGCGGGCAGAGGAGAGGUAUCCAUGCUCCAACGAUACGUCGGAUGCGUCAAGAAGCUACCUGAUGAGGAGCGCUACCACAGGAGAUAUCAAUUUAAACUACAGCUUUCUUUCUUUCGUGAAAGAAACAUGUCAUGUGGUUUCGCUAUCUAUUGUACGUGCACUUCGCAUGGUUACGCUUCCUCACCAACAACACAUAGUUAUGCUCUUUACGUGUUUUUCUCAGGAAAGAACUCUAAUCGAACACCACAGCUUCAACAGCGCAGGACUAAGCAAAAAUCAUUUGAUUUUGGGGCUACCUUUAGGCACCUAUUUUUACCAGCCAUGGAGUUGCAUGGAGUCCAGCACACAAACCAAACAAGCCAUAAGACCAUACGCAAACUUCUUUGACUUUCUAGAAAUUAUCAAGAUGCCUCUUUUAUUGAAAAGGAAUGAUUAUUUCUUUCACUAAUAUACCGUAAAUUAUUACGUGUCAUAGAUGAUUUAAGAUAUAUGAACCUUCUCAGCUAAAUAAUCUGCAUCAUUGCAUGGCAAUCCAAUAAUAUACUUGUGGUCCUACCUACUCCACGAGCAUGUAAGGUAAGUUACUGCAUCAUGUCUUACCUAUGACCAAGAGCAAGGUCAUCCUCUAGGCUCUAGCAUAUCCAUUUUAUUUCUAAGCUACAAGCUGAAAACAAUAAUACAAGACUGGUAUGCAUGAUGCCUGCUGUUUGUGGCAUAGGUGGUUUCAAAUAGUAAAUUUUGCAGCCAUCAAACCAUCACAUUCUGGUUCUUCUUACUUCUUUCAAAGGUGCACAUGACCCGAACGUCGUGAACGUGAUAAACUCUUGCGGCACGCGCUGCAACCACUUUGACACGUCUACCUUCGCCAUUCAGGAAGGAUCACCUGUGCUGGGGAGGAAGUGGGAACGGAACCGUCCAGACUUCCGCGUCGGGGUGGAAGGAGGACUGAGGCCGGAGCCUGCUUACUGCUUACCUACAAAGCACGGACACGGUUGGAAGUGCCGAACUGCCGUUCUGAUACGGCGGGAUACAGGGAUACGGCGGGAUAUGCCGGGAUACGCGAACUUUGCAGUAUCCCCCGAAUUUCGAUUUUAAAAAUAGAAAAAAACACAGGGAUACGCCGGGACACGUGCGGAAUACGUUUGGGACACAGCCUGGCCCAAAACAGCCUCGGCCCAACCCAGUAUACCUAACCUAUUUUGCAGGAACUCCCGCACGCUCUCGUCUCAAGGACGAGGUGAACCCUCCCAGCCUCCCAGGUCACACUGGAACGCGCCGCCAGCCUCCUGGAUCGAAGCCACCGCCGCCUGGACUCGUCGCCGCUGGAUUCGAUCGGCGACCGCUGGUGCUACUCCCAGCCACGCAGAUGGAUGCAGCUUGCAAUGACAACAUGACAUGGGGGGAUGAGGAACAAUCAAUCAUCACUUGAUAAAAGAGACACCAAAUGGGGCACUAUUCUCUAUUAUGAUCUCUUUCUCAUUAAUUUUCUGUCUUAAUUGUAUAUUGUAUGGCAUAUUUUUAUUUUAUUUUAUAUAUACUCACCGUAUCCCCGAAUGGCUGUUUUUGAAAAA